RNAcentral lists this ribosomal RNA (384 nucleotides) under uncultured prokaryote. Its description in RNAcentral is "bacterial SSU rRNA". It matches the Rfam family "Archaeal small subunit ribosomal RNA", at positions 341 to 725 of the family's 1478-position model. The record is from RNAcentral.
GCGAAAACUUUACAAUGCUGGCAACAGCGAUAAGGGAACCUCGAGUGCCAGGUUACAAAUCUGGCUGUCGAAAUGCCUAAAAAGCAUUUCAUAGCAAGGGCCGGGCAAGACCGGUGCCAGCCGCCGCGGUAACACCGGCGGCUCGAGUGGUAACCGUUAUUAUUGGGUCUACAGGGUCUGUAGUCGGCCGGAUAAGUCUCUUGAGAAAUCUGGCAGCUUAACUGUCAGGCUUUCAGGAGAUACUGUCUGGCUCGAGGCCGGGAGAGGUGAGAGGUACUUCAGGGGUAGGGGUGAAAACUUGUAAUCCGUGAAGGACAAACAGGGGCGAAGGCGUCUCACCAGAACGGACCUGACGGCAAGGGACGAAAGCUAGGGGCACGAACC